GGCAUAACUUGGCAUUUGCUCCAAUGCCUCAACCAAUGGGAUCGCCAUUUCAAGUUUGUUCAGCACCUUCAUGAACUUCCUAAACUCUUUCUCACGCUCUAGGUUCUUCACUCUCUUCUUUCUAGGGUAGGGCACCCUAGCAUACGGUGAUUCAUCCACACCCUUACCUUUUUCAGUCUUCUUUUUCUCCUUUUCUCUCAUCUCCCUCUGUUUUUUAACUUCUCCUUCUUCAU
RNAcentral lists this long non-coding RNA (233 nucleotides) under Trifolium pratense (red clover). RNAcentral describes it as "long non-coding RNA (TPRA_LNC011837)". Lineage: Eukaryota; Viridiplantae; Streptophyta; Magnoliopsida; Fabales; Fabaceae. The record is from RNAcentral.